GCCUAGUUGGCUCAGUCAGUAGAACAUGUGACUCUUGAUCUCAGAGUUGUGAGUUCAAGCCCCACAUUGGGCU
Molecule: transfer RNA, 73 nt
Filed under: Canis lupus familiaris (dog)
Lineage: Eukaryota; Metazoa; Chordata; Mammalia; Carnivora; Canidae
Also listed under: 1 other name
Rfam family: tRNA
About the family: Transfer RNA (tRNA) molecules are approximately 80 nucleotides in length. Their secondary structure includes four short double-helical elements and three loops (D, anti-codon, and T loops).
Source: Rfam by way of RNAcentral